RNAcentral lists this ribosomal RNA (478 nucleotides) under uncultured bacterium. RNAcentral describes it as "partial 16S ribosomal RNA". It matches the Rfam family "Bacterial small subunit ribosomal RNA", at positions 28 to 507 of the family's 1533-position model. The record is from RNAcentral.
GAUGAACGCUAGCGGCAGGCCUAACACAUGCAAGUCGAGGGAGAAGCCCUUUCGGGGGCAGAAACCGGCGCACGGGUGCGUAACGCGUAUGCAACCUACCUUUCACAGGGGGAUAGCCCGAAGAAAUUUGGAUUAAUACCCCAUAAUAUUAUUGGAUGGCAUCAUUUGAUAAUUAAAACUGCGGUGGUGAAAGAUGGGCAUGCGUCCUAUUAGCUAGUUGGAGUGGUAACGGCACCCCAAGGCUACGAUAGGUAGGGGUCCUGAGAGGGAGAUCCCCCACACUGGUACUGAGACAGGGACCAGACUCCUACGGGAGGCAGCAGUGAGGAAUAUUGGUCAAUGGUCGGAAGACUGAACCAGCCAUGCCGCGUGCAGGAAGAAUGCCUUAUGGGUUGUAAACUGCUUUUAUAUGGGAAGAAUAAGGUGUACGUGUACAUUGAUGACGGUACCAUAUGAAUAAGCAUCGGCUAACCCCGUG